Molecule: ribosomal RNA, 1701 nt
Filed under: Triticum aestivum (bread wheat)
Lineage: Eukaryota; Viridiplantae; Streptophyta; Magnoliopsida; Poales; Poaceae
Description: partial small subunit ribosomal RNA
Source: RNAcentral
AUGACGCUGUGGAGCGAGCUGAGUGAUGUGGCGACGGUGGCACAGCUGGUCGGCGCAGACGUCGCCGGGCUCAUCUCAGUGAUCAUGCUGGCUGCGGAGACGGCGCGGCAGAACAGGAGGGAGUGCCGGCAGCUCGCGCGUCGGGUCCUCAUAAUCUCGCGGCUGCUGCCGCUCGUGCAGGACCCGGAGUCGGCGCGGCCGAUGGCCGGGCUGUGCGACACGCUUCGGGAAGCUCACGAGCUCCUCCAGUCUUGCCAGAGGAGGAGCGCGGCGUACCGUCUUUUCAUGGCCGGUAGGAAGGCCGUAAGAUUCAGGGAGAUGCAGAACAAGAUCGACUUCUACCUCCUCCUCUUCCCCGUGACAAGCCACAUCGGCAUUGCACGCCGCCUCGACCGAAUCUACAACCUCCUCGACACCACGGGAGCCGGAGGUGAACCGUCUACACUUCCACAGCCGUCCCAGCUGCAGCAGGAGUCUACAGUGGUCGAUCAGGAAGUAGUACCGUAUGAAAUCCAUGAAUUCACGUUUGCAGAAAUCGUCGCUGCCACCGAUUAUUUUGACCCUCACGCGGGGGUCGAGUCCGACCAAUCUGUAACGAUGUACAGGGGAACGCUUCACGAUGGGCGAGAGGUAGCCGUCAGGCGCAUUAUGGACCGGCAGUCCAGCUUCUUACAGGAGGAGUUCCGUACGGAGCUGGACAUCCUGCCACGGCUCCAACACAAACACAUCGUCCGCCUCCUCGGAUCAUGCGUGACUGCAAGGAAGGACCAGCAACAGAAAAAAAAGCGUCUGCUAUCCUGGUGGAGAAAGGAGCCGAAAGAACCGGAGUGGCUGACCGUCUACGAGUACAUGGAGAACAACACGCUCUUCCACCACCUACACCCUGAUCAGGGCUCCACCGAGCUGUCGCCCGUGACGGUGUCCUGGAAGACGCGCAUCGAUGUGCUCCUCGGCGUGUCGCGCGCCAUCGAGCACAUGCACUGUCAUGCCAACCCGCCGAUUAUCCACCGGAAUAUCAAGCCGGCAAACAUCCUUUUCGACGCCAGCUGGGUGCCGCGUUUGUCAGACUUUGGCUCCUCGGUCGUCUGGGACAUGGCGAGUGAGGAGUUGGGGAUGACUUGCACCAUUACUGGCACAAUUGGGUACAUCGACCCAGAGUACAUGACCAGAGGUCUUGUGAAGCCGACGAGCGACGUGUACAGCCUGGGCAUUAUGAUGCUCGAGGUUCUGACAGGUAGAAAGGUAAUUGAGAGGGACGACCAGGGGGAUAUACUACCUUUGACAUCGUUCGCAGUCCCCAUCGUUGAGGCCGGCAAUAUUAGGGGGUUGCUGGACACUCGACCCGUGCCGGAGCCAACGCCCGGGCAACUCCGGGCGCUGGAGAACGUGGCCCGGACUGCACGAUGCUGCGUGAAGGAAGGGAAGGACCGGCCGGCCAUACCGGACAUCGUGGCCAACCUCGAGACGGCGCUCGAAUUGUUCUGCAAGGACGAGCCAAGCUCAGUUCACGAGUCACCAGAACAUGACAGCAACGUGCAAUGGGCAGUCUUCCCGUCCCUGCCGGCGUCGCCGGAGAUCACGUUGGCUGAGGAUCGUCCAGGUGGUGGCGGCCACGAGAAAUGCACGUCCGAUCCGGGCGGCAGCUCCUCCAACUUUAUCGACGGCACGCAGCACCUUAAGAUAACUAGUAACUCUAUCUAG